Molecule: ribosomal RNA, 497 nt
Filed under: uncultured bacterium
Lineage: Bacteria
Description: partial 16S ribosomal RNA
Rfam family: Bacterial small subunit ribosomal RNA
Source: RNAcentral
GAUGAACGCUGGCGGCGUGCCUAAUACAUGCAAGUCGAGCGAACAGACGAGGCGCUUGCUCCUCUUCCGUUAGCGGCGGACGGGUGAGUACCACGUGGAUAACCUACCUAUAAGACUGGGAUAACUUAGGGAAACCGGAGCUACUACCGGCUAAUAUAUUGAACCGCAUGGUUCACUAGUGAAAGACGGUUUUGCUGUCACUUAUAGAUGGAUCCGCGCCGCAUUAGCUAGUUGGUAAGGUAACGGCUUACCAAGGCAACGAUGCGUAGCCGACCUGAGAGGGUGAUCGGCCACACUGGAACUGAGACACGGUCCAGACUCCUACGGGAGGCAGCAGUAGGGAAUCUUCCGCAAUGGGCGAAAGCCUGACGGAGCAACGCCGCGUGAGUGAUGAAGGUCUUCGGAUCGUAAAACUCUGUUAUUAGGGGAGAACAAAUGUGUAAGUAACUAUGCACGUCUUGACGGUACCUAAACAGAAAGCCACGGCUAACUACGUG